AACUAUCAAUAGUUGUAAUAAUUGGUGAAUAUAAUUGCUUUCAAGUUACAAUACCUUGGUGUUAUAUGUGUUUGGGGUGGAUAAGUAAGGCAUAGACAAUUUACAGUAAGUGAUUCAAUGAUGAACAAAAAAUUAUUUUUUAUAUAAAAAUUGCCAUAAUGUUCUUAUUUGGUAGCAAUGAAGGAAAUCUGAAUUCAGGAGUUUAUCUUGAGCAGCUUCAGGUAUUAACAGGAAGCUGAAUGACUGGCAACAGCUUUUUGGAAUUUAGCUUAACACCUUAAGAAGAAACUUGUUGAGAGAUAUGAGGUGUCUCUGUGCAAGGCGCCAGUCGUCUUACUGCGGGGAAGUCAUGUGAAUUCCCUGUAUAGACAUUACACUCCAGAUGCACAAAUCACACCUCUGCUUCUUGUUGCUUCCUCUUGCACACAAAGCCAUAUGUGCUUUCCCUGUUUUGAUGUUAAUGAAAGCGCCUUAUUCAUCAUUCCCUGAUGUUUAGAAGUGAAAUAUUUCAGGCUUCCUUAAUGGAAGAGCAUUUAUAAUAGCAGGCAUGGAACACAGAGGGUGAAAUCCUGUUCCUUAUUUCCAAACUACCAUCUUCACCCCACCCUCAACUUACUUGCCCUUUUAUACUUGGAAAUGCUAAAGCAUUUUCCCAGUAAAUUCCAAGAAGCUUAUAGAGCCAUUUUAUACACAUAUCACAAGUUAUACAUUGUCAAAUAUUCAUGUAAUUUUUUUUUUUUUUUUGCAGUAUUGAGGCAGGAUACUGGUGAUUUUCCAUACACGUUUCCAUCUAUGUUACUGGACCACUGUAUCACUGAAACUGAUAUAAACAGGCAUCCAAUUUUGUUUUAUACAGACAGUGUAGCAUCCUGUUAUUUGUUCUCUUUUAAAGAUGUAAGAAUUUUUAUAACAGGAAACAAGGAACCAGUAACCUCCAGAUAUUGUUGGCUUCUGAUUCCAUCAACUAUAAAAAAACUGAAUCAUGGGAGUGGUAGUCCAACAACAUUGCGGGGAAAACAUACCUGCUUUAUAGAAGUCCUUGCAUGCUGGUCUUAUCCAAGUAGCCCUUCGUCUAAUGUUUGGAGUAGAGAAUACAUUACAGGUUAAAAUGUCAAAGUUCAUAAAUUGUACAUUUGGGUAAAAAAGUUUUGCUCAGAAUUGGGAAUCAACCUGUGCACUAAUGAAUUCAUGCUGAAGCAUUCAGCUUAUUUCCUAUGUUUCUUUUUGCAAACCAAGAAGACAAAACAAAAUGUUAGAACAAAUGGCUUGCAUAAUAAACCCUGGAUUGUGGAUAAAUAAA
Non-coding RNA from Pantherophis guttatus, 1300 nucleotides. The record is from RefSeq and is a predicted model, not a curated record. Lineage: Eukaryota; Metazoa; Chordata; Lepidosauria; Squamata; Colubridae.